Molecule: ribosomal RNA, 497 nt
Filed under: uncultured bacterium
Lineage: Bacteria
Description: partial 16S ribosomal RNA
Rfam family: Bacterial small subunit ribosomal RNA
Source: RNAcentral
GAUGAACGCUGGCGGCGUGCCUAAUACAUGCAAGUCGAGCGAACGGACGAGAAGCUUGCUUUUCUGAUGUUAGCGGCGGACGGGUGAGUAACACGUGGAUAACCUACCUAUAAGACUGGGAUAACUUCGGGAAACCGGAGCUAAUACCGGAUAAUAUUUUGAACCGCAUGGUUCAAAAGGGAAAGACGGUCUUGCUGUCACUUAUAGAUGGAUCCGCGCUGCAUUAGCUAGUUGGUAAGGUAACGGCUUACCAAGGCAACGAUGCAUAGCCGACCUGAGAGGGUGAUCGGCCACACUGGAACUGAGACACGGUCCAGACUCCUACGGGAGGCAGCAGUAGGGAAUCUUCCGCAAUGGGCGAAAGCCUGACGGAGCAACGCCGCGUGAGUGAUGAAGGUCUUCGGAUCGUAAAACUCUGUUAUUAGGGAAGAACAUAUGUGUAAGUAACUGUGCACAUCUUGACGGUACCUAAUCAGAAAGCCACGGCUAACUACGUG